GUCCCCUUAACUCAAUUGGAUAGAGUGCCGCUCUCCUAAAGCGGGAAUCUGGGUUCAAGUCCCAGAGGGGAUACCA
This 76-nucleotide transfer RNA is filed under the name Verrucomicrobiota bacterium. RNAcentral describes it as "tRNA-Arg". It matches the Rfam family "tRNA". Rfam says of the family: Transfer RNA (tRNA) molecules are approximately 80 nucleotides in length. Lineage: Bacteria; Pseudomonadati; Verrucomicrobiota. The record is from RNAcentral. RNAcentral also lists the same sequence under 2 other names.